AUACGUAGGGGGCGAGCGUUGUCCGGAAUGAUUGGGCGUAAAGGGCGCGUAGGCGGCCCGGUAAGUCUGGAGUGAAAGUCCUGUUUUUGAGAUGGGAAUUGCUUUGGAUACUGUCGGGCUUGAGUGCAGGAGAGGUAAGUGGAAUUCCCAGUGUAGCGGGGAAAUGCGUAGAGAUUGGGAGGAACACCAGUGGCGAAGGCGACUUACUGGACUGUAACUGACGCUGAGGCGCGAAAGUGUGGGGAGCAAACAGGAUUAGAUACCCUGGUAGUCCACACUGUAAACGAUGAAUGCUAGGUGUAGGGGGUAUCGACCCCUUCUGUGCCGCAGUCAACACAAUAAGCAUUCCGCCUGGGGGGUACGGCCGCAAGGUUGAAACUCAAAUGAAUUGGCGGGG
Molecule: ribosomal RNA, 397 nt
Filed under: uncultured bacterium
Lineage: Bacteria
Description: partial 16S ribosomal RNA
Rfam family: Bacterial small subunit ribosomal RNA
Source: RNAcentral